AAAUUGAAGAGUUUGAUCAUGGCUCAGAUUGAACGCUGGCGGCAGGCCUAACACAUGCAAGUCGAACGGUAACAGGAAGAAGCUUGCUUCUUUGCUGACGAGUGGCGGACGGGUGAGUAAUGUCUGGGAAACUGCCUGAUGGAGGGGGAUAACUACUGGAAACGGUAGCUAAUACCGCAUAACGUCGCAAGACCAAAGAGGGGGACCUUCGGGCCUCUUGCCAUCGGAUGUGCCCAGAUGGGAUUAGCUAGUAGGUGGGGUAACGGCUCACCUAGGCGACGAUCCCUAGCUGGUCUGAGAGGAUGACCAGCCACACUGGAACUGAGACACGGUCCAGACUCCUACGGGAGGCAGCAGUGGGGAAUAUUGCACAAUGGGCGCAAGCCUGAUGCAGCCAUGCCGCGUGUAUGAAGAAGGCCUUCGGGUUGUAAAGUACUUUCAGCGGGGAGGAAGGGAGUAAAGUUAAUACCUUUGCUCAUUGACGUUACCCGCAGAAGAAGCACCGGCUAACUCCGUGCCAGCAGCCGCGGUAAUACGGAGGGUGCAAGCGUUAAUCGGAAUUACUGGGCGUAAAGCGCACGCAGGCGGUUUGUUAAGUCAGAUGUGAAAUCCCCGGGCUCAACCUGGGAACUGCAUCUGAUACUGGCAAGCUUGAGUCUCGUAGAGGGGGGUAGAAUUCCAGGUGUAGCGGUGAAAUGCGUAGAGAUCUGGAGGAAUACCGGUGGCGAAGGCGGCCCCCUGGACGAAGACUGACGCUCAGGUGCGAAAGCGUGGGGAGCAAACAGGAUUAGAUACCCUGGUAGUCCACGCCGUAAACGAUGUCGACUUGGAGGUUGUGCCCUUGAGGCGUGGCUUCCGGAGCUAACGCGUUAAGUCGACCGCCUGGGGAGUACGGCCGCAAGGUUAAAACUCAAAUGAAUUGACGGGGGCCCGCACAAGCGGUGGAGCAUGUGGUUUAAUUCGAUGCAACGCGAAGAACCUUACCUGGUCUUGACAUCCACAGAACUUUCCAGAGAUGGAUUGGUGCCUUCGGGAACUGUGAGACAGGUGCUGCAUGGCUGUCGUCAGCUCGUGUUGUGAAAUGUUGGGUUAAGUCCCGCAACGAGCGCAACCCUUAUCCUUUGUUGCCAGCGGUCCGGCCGGGAACUCAAAGGAGACUGCCAGUGAUAAACUGGAGGAAGGUGGGGAUGACGUCAA
RNAcentral lists this ribosomal RNA (1197 nucleotides) under Escherichia coli. RNAcentral's name for it is "bacterial SSU rRNA". It matches the Rfam family "Bacterial small subunit ribosomal RNA", at positions 1 to 1188 of the family's 1533-position model. Lineage: Bacteria; Pseudomonadati; Pseudomonadota; Gammaproteobacteria; Enterobacterales; Enterobacteriaceae. The record is from RNAcentral.